Molecule: ribosomal RNA, 448 nt
Filed under: uncultured organism
Description: partial 16S ribosomal RNA
Rfam family: Bacterial small subunit ribosomal RNA
Source: RNAcentral
UACACUCCUACGGGAGGCAGCAGUGGGGAAUAUUGGACAAUGGGCGCAAGCCUGAUCCAGCCAUGCCGCGUGAGUGAUGAAGGCCCUAGGGUUGUAAAGCUCUUUCACCGGUGAAGAUAAUGACGGUAACCGGAGAAGAAGCCCCGGCUAACUUCGUGCCAGCAGCCGCGGUAAUACGAAGGGGGCUAGCGUUGUUCGGAUUUACUGGGCGUAAAGCGCACGUAGGCGGACUAUUAAGUCAGGGGUGAAAUCCCGGGGCUCAACCCCGGAACUGCCUUUGAUACUGGUAGUCUUGAGUUCGAGAGAGGUGAGUGGAAUUCCGAGUGUAGAGGUGAAAUUCGUAGAUAUUCGGAGGAACACCAGUGGCGAAGGCGGCUCACUGGCUCGAUACUGACGCUGAGGUGCGAAAGCGUGGGGAGCAAACAGGAUUAGAAACCCCAGUAGUCCC